This 30-nucleotide non-coding RNA is filed under the name Mus musculus (house mouse). Lineage: Eukaryota; Metazoa; Chordata; Mammalia; Rodentia; Muridae. The record is from RNAcentral.
UACACGGAAUUUCAUAUACUCAUGGUAUCC